UCUCUCUCACAACCCUCUCUAAACCCUAAUCUCUCUCAACCGAUCGAAUCAACCUUCUUCAGCCCCGUUUGAUCCAAUCUCAGAGCGAUUGGUGAUUUAUCUCAGAUCCAAUCUCAGAGCGGUUGGGGAUUCAUCUCAGAUCCAAUCUCUGAGCGAUUGACGAUUUCGAUUUUGAUUUCGAAGUUCUCUCUCUCUCUCUCGAUUUCGAAGCGCCACCGCCGCCACCAUCUGCACCGGCGAGGGGAGCGAACACCAUCGUCUACUAAGGUGAGCAUCACCUGAUUCCCGCAUUAGGGCUAUGGCGAUGCAUUGAUUGAAGCCUCGAUCAUCAUCGCUUUUACAUUUAUUGAGAAGGAUCAAGAAUUGGGGGAAGCCUUAGAGAGAAGGCAGUUGAAGAGUUUCUGUUCUAUAUCAGUGUUAGGAGAGUGAGCGUGACAAGCAUGUAUGAAGAGCAUUCAGUGGCUUGUUGAUGAAUAAAAGGCAUUUCUUACAAAGAAAACAGGGCAUGCAUUUUCCCAUUUGGGGGGUAUUUUGCUGGUUUAGAUAAAUAGAAAAAUAAGUAUUGUAGUGUGGUGCAAAAUGUGCAAGAUAAAUAUAAUUUAGAUGAUGCUAGUGACGUAUGGGUGAUGACGAAAUAUGCUGUGCUAUUAGAUUUUGUUUUUGUAAUGCUUCAAACACUACAUAUGGCUGAGGUUGUUAGAAUUGUAUUGCAUUUUUUGGCUCUCUUUAUUCUG
Camellia sinensis is the source of this 734-nucleotide non-coding RNA. NCBI's taxonomy places the organism in Eukaryota, Viridiplantae, Streptophyta, Magnoliopsida, Ericales, Theaceae. The record is from RefSeq and is a predicted model, not a curated record.